GAUGAGCGCUGGCGGCGUGCCUAAUACAUGCAAGUCGAGCGAACAGACGAGGAGCUUGCUCCUCUGACGUUAGCGGCGGACGGGUGAGUAACACGUGGAUAACCUACCUAUAAGACUGGGAUAACUUCGGGAAACCGGAGCUAAUACCGGAUAAUAUGUUGAACCGCAUGGUUCAAUAGUGAAAGACGGUUUUGCUGUCACUUAUAGAUGGAUCCGCGCCGCUUUAGCUGGUUGUUAAGGUAACGGCUUACCAAGGCGACGAUGCGUAGCCGACCUGAGAGGGUGAUGGGCCACACUGGAACUGAGAGACGGUCCAGACUCCUACGGGAGGCAGCAGUAGGGAAUCUUCCGCAAUGGGCGAAAGCCUGACGGAGCAACGCCGGGUGAGUGAUGAAGGUCUUCGGAUCGUAUAACUCUGUUAUUAGUGAAGAACAAAUGUGUAAGUAACUAUGCACGUCUUGACGGUACCUAAUCAGAAAGCCACGGCUAACUACGUG
RNAcentral lists this ribosomal RNA (497 nucleotides) under uncultured bacterium. RNAcentral's name for it is "partial 16S ribosomal RNA". It matches the Rfam family "Bacterial small subunit ribosomal RNA", at positions 28 to 507 of the family's 1533-position model. The record is from RNAcentral.